CAAUAGCGUAUAUUAAAGUUGUUGCGGUUAAAAGCUCGUAGUUGGAUUUCUGUCCGGGGCGACCGGUCCACCCUUCGGGUGAGCAUCUGGUCCGCUUUGGGCAUCCUUCUGGGGAACGCAUCUGCACUUGACUGUGUGGUGUGCGGAAUCUAGAACUUUUACUUUGAGGAAAUUAGAGUGUUCACUGCAGGCGUCCGCCUUGAAUAUAUUAGCAUGGAAUAAUAAGAUAGGACCUCGGUUCUAUUUUUUCGGUUUCUAGAGCUGAGGUAAUGAUUAACAGGGAUAGUUGGGGGGCAUUCGUAUUUAACUGUCAGAGGUGAAAUUCUUGGAUUUGUUAAAGACGAACUACUGCGAAAGCAUUUGCCAAGGAUGUUUUCAUUGAUCAAGAACGAAAGUUAGGGGAUCGAAGACGAUUAGAUACC
This 422-nucleotide ribosomal RNA is filed under the name uncultured eukaryote. RNAcentral's name for it is "SSU rRNA". It matches the Rfam family "Eukaryotic small subunit ribosomal RNA", at positions 592 to 1016 of the family's 1831-position model. The record is from RNAcentral.